GAUGAACGCUGGCGGCGUGCCUAAUACAUGCAAGUCGAGCGAACAGACGAGGAGCUUGCUCCUCUGACGUUAGCGGCGGACGGGUGAGUAACACGUGGAUAACCUACCUAUAAGACUGGGAUAACUUCGGGAAACCGGCGCUAAUACCGGAUAAUAUAUUGAACCGCGUGGUUCAAUAGUGAAAGACGGUUUUGCUGUCACUUCUAGAUGGAUCCGCGCCGCAUUAGCUAGUUGGUAAGGUAACGGCUUACCAAGGCAACGAUGCGUAGCCGACCUGAGAGGGUGAUCGGCCACACUGGAACUGAGACACGGUCCAGACUCCUACGGGAGGCAGCAGUAGGGAAUCUUCCGCAAUGGGCGAAAGCUUGACGGAGCAACGCCGCGUGAGUGAUGAAGGUCUUCGGAUCGUAAAACUCUGUUAUUAGGGAAGAACAAAUGUGUAAGUAACUAUGCACGUCUUGACGGUACCUAAUCAGAAAGCCACGGCUAACUACGUG
This 497-nucleotide ribosomal RNA is filed under the name uncultured bacterium. Its description in RNAcentral is "partial 16S ribosomal RNA". It matches the Rfam family "Bacterial small subunit ribosomal RNA", at positions 28 to 507 of the family's 1533-position model. The record is from RNAcentral.